UUAAGCGAUGUAAAGCGUAUUUAAUCUCCAUACCUUCGUUUUAUUUGCUUUUUUCAUUUUAAAUUUGCUUUAACCCUAACCCUAGGGUUAGGGUUAAUUGUUUCAGAAUCGUUUGUUUAUGUAGUCGGCACUUAAUGUAUAUCGGCUGAAUGGACGUCAGUGAUUGGUUGAAAUUACAGAAAUACGACAACUUUAACAUGGAAAAACUUAUGGAUUUCUUUUUUUUAAAAGAAGACUAAGAGAAAAAGAUGUUUUAUAUGACACAUUCUACCAGUGUUCCAAGUUUCAAAGUGUUUCGUUAAUGAAAAAUGUGGCCCCCGUUUUAAAAAAGAUCCGAAAAUAAUAAUAAUAAAUUAUAUUUGUCUAAGAGGUUACGCAGUAAGAUCGAACCCCAGGCGUGUUUUGUUGCGAAGCGAACUUCUGAACCAUUCUGGCCAUUUAAACUUACUCCUACUUGUAAGAAGAAGUUACAGUGAUUAGACUGCAAGACUGCUGGGGUAGCCGGUUCGAAGAAUUUUAGUCAAACAAAUCUACCCCAGAACUUUUUUCUUUUGUUUUUGAAGCUUGGUACUUAUUAUAUUGAUAUCUUUGCCGAACCACAAGCUAAUGGGAACGUCAACAAACCAGCAUCGGUUUGUCAAGUGGUGUGAGGACGAACACUACAAGGUUCCGGGUUCAGUCACCCAGCAUGGAACCUUGGACAAGUGUCUUCAACUGCAGCCUCGACCGACCAAAGUCUUAUGAACGACAGAAACAGAAAUAGAACACUGAUGAGGUGAAAUGAAAGAUUACAUAUUUAUUUCUACAACUGCUAUGUAAUUAUUAUAUUUCGAUAAAACAUGUACAUGUUCUAUAAAGCAGUGAAUACCAUACCAACUUUCUGUAUAUCAUUAUGUGUGUUUGUGUUGCUAUUUAAGAUCGGAUUUAAUUGUCAGCAUUGUUUGGUUUCUCAAAAUUUCAAUAAAUCUUACUUAAGUUA
This is a long non-coding RNA of Octopus bimaculoides (California two-spot octopus), 979 nucleotides long. RefSeq lists it as uncharacterized. The record is from RefSeq and is a predicted model, not a curated record. Lineage: Eukaryota; Metazoa; Mollusca; Cephalopoda; Octopoda; Octopodidae.